This 497-nucleotide ribosomal RNA is filed under the name uncultured bacterium. Its description in RNAcentral is "partial 16S ribosomal RNA". It matches the Rfam family "Bacterial small subunit ribosomal RNA", at positions 28 to 507 of the family's 1533-position model. The record is from RNAcentral.
GAUGAACGCUGGCGGCGUGCCUAAUACAUGCAAGUCGAGCGAACGGACGAGAAGCUUGCUUCUCUGAUGUUAGCGGCGGACGGGUGAGUAACACGUGGAUAACCUACCUAUAAGACUGGGAUAACUUCGGGAAACCGGAGCUAAUACCGGAUAAUAUUUUGAACCGCAUGGUUCAAAAGUGAAAGACGGUCUUGCUGUCACUUAUAGAUGGAUCCGCGCUGCAUUAGCUAGUUGGUAAGGUAACGGCUUACCAAGGCAACGAUGCAUAGCCGACCUGAGAGGGUGAUCGGCCACACUGGAACUGAGACACGGACCAGACUCCUACGGGAGGCAGCAGUAGGGAAUCUUCCGCAGUGGGCGAAAGCCUGACGGAGCAACGCCGCGUGAGUGAUGAAGGUCUUCGGAUCGUAAAACUCUGUUAUUAGGGAAGAACAUAUGUGUAAGUAACUGUGCACAUCUUGACGGUACCUAAUCAGAAAGCCACGGCUAACUACGUG